UUACAUUAUUUUAACUGCAGUCCAGCNCCCCUGUGAAAAUGCCCUUCUUUACCUAUUAGUAAAUAAGGAGCGGAUAUCAGGCACAAUUUAUGCCCAUAACAUCUUGCCAAGCCACACCUCUACAGGAAUUCAGCAGUGAUAAACAUUGAAAAAUAAGCGUCAAUAAGCUCGAAUCAGUAAUAAUUUUAAGAGUUGGUAAAUUUCGUGCCAGCCACCGCGGUUAUACGAGAAACUCAAAUUAAUAAAAACGGCCUAAAGCGUGAUUAAAUUAUAUUAAAAUAAAUAGAAAUAAAAAUUAACUCGACUGUUAUACGUAUAUGUUAAACGGUAAACCAAAAACGAAAGAUAUUCUAACAAAUAAACUACUUGAACCCCCGAAAGCUAAGAAACAAACUAGGAUUUAGAUACCCUACUAUGCUCAGCCUUAAACUUUGGAACAACCCGCCUGAGUACUACGAGCCACAGCUUAAAACUCAAAGGACUUGGCGGUGCUCUACACCCCCCUAGAGGAGCCUGUUCUAUAAUUGAUACCCCCCGCUAAACCUCACCACUAAAAAUAGUAGGCAUAAUGAUAAACAUAAACAGGUGUAGGUCAAGGUGUAGCGAAUUAGGUGGAAAGAAAUGGGCUACAUUUUUUAAACUAGAAAAUUCGAUAGAGUGUUCUUUUUAAAUAGGCCAUAGAGGGGGCACACACCGCCCGUCACCCUCCUCAGAAAAACAACUAAUUUAUAUAAAAGAAAAGAAGCC
Molecule: ribosomal RNA, 747 nt
Filed under: Hynobius leechii (Gensan salamander)
Lineage: Eukaryota; Metazoa; Chordata; Amphibia; Caudata; Hynobiidae
Description: partial 12S ribosomal RNA
Source: RNAcentral